Molecule: long non-coding RNA, 1512 nt
Filed under: Brachypodium distachyon (stiff brome)
Lineage: Eukaryota; Viridiplantae; Streptophyta; Magnoliopsida; Poales; Poaceae
Description: long non-coding RNA (BDIS_LNC000882)
Source: RNAcentral
CUUAUUUUAGACGAGCUGCUGAUGUAGCAAUACAAAGUAGAAGGACCUGAAUGUGAAAACAAAAGUCAACAAGUGCCGAAGUGUGAAGAGGAAAGGAUCAACUUGUGUUAUAAGAGGAAAAGGAGAGGGGCAAAAUGGAAAAGGAGGGGGUUAAAUCCCUAGCUUCAAUCCCCUUCGAGCCUGGCAUUCCCUCUCCCUUCCCCUAGCCUCCUGCUCCACCGGCGGCCAGGCCAGCGUGGCGGCGCGCCACCGAAGCUGCUGCUGCCCUUCCCGAGAUCCACUACUUCUCCUCCUCAAGACCGCCUCCGCCGGGCAGCGGACUGCUGUGCACCUCUCCUCCAACCUGAAGCUGCAGCCCAUCAAGAGAAGCUCGCCUCCAACUCAACCUGCUGCUCACCUCUGCCCCUGUCCCCCGGCGAAGUCAAGGACGACGCUUGCUGCCUCCUCUUCAUCAACGUGUGCAACUUCUUCCCUUCCCCAACUCCUGCUGCUCUUCUCCUUGGGUGAAUGCCCAUCAAAAUCUCUCUCCCUUUCCCCCCUGUUGCUUGCUGUUUGUAUGGACUAAAAGUGAGAACAUGUGUUGAUUUUGUGUGCCUACAAGCUGUUUGUUUAAAUGUCAGUGAGAAACCUUGUCAAUUGUUGAGUUGUUCUACUGUGAUAUUUGUGAGCUAUAAAUUAUAUUUUGUCCUAAGAUUUGUGUGAUAUCUACUAGUGUGUGAUUUAAUUUUCUGUGAUAUUACAUAUGUUAGUUGCCCUGUUAUGUAUUCUUUCCCAUACCUAAACAAUUUGCUUCUCUCUCCCAUUCUUAUAUGUUUGCUCGUGAAUAUUUAUUAUGCCUAGUAAUCGUUUCUGUCCAGUGAUGUUUGCAUAAACGAAACUACUAAAAAUAUUUGCACUGUUUGUUACAAAUUCCAAAAUCUGUUCCUGUGAUCUAGCUUUAACCGAGCAUUGUUGUCGCUGCAUAGUCCCUGUGGAGAACCUCGACAAAAAAACUACUGUAUUUGCAUUGAUCAGUGGCCCUCGGGGUUCUUCCAGGUGUUCACAACAUUGGGAAUCUUCCACUCGUCUUGGGGCCCCCUCGGCCGAGGCGGCGAGCUCAUCACCGGCACCGACGGCGACCCGGCUGGAUGGCUGGGCGCUCGCCUCCACAUGAUCUUGGACGGACCGGUCGGGUCGGACGAAAUCUUGAUAAACCCGCGGAUGAUCCCCGUCCGUCCCAUGGGCUGCUGCACCGGCCGUGGCUUGGAAUUGAUGAAAGGCUGGUGCGGCGGGGUGCUCGCCGCGGCGGGCUGCACUUGCACGGUGGCGAGGCGGGCCGGGGCGCUGAUCUUCUCGUCGGCGACCAUCGGGACGGCAUCGUCGGGCUCGAUCCCGCGAUCUUCGGUGUGGAUUCUUCCAUGGCGGAAUUAGGGUUUUCGUGAUUGUUUUGGGUUGGGGAAUUUUACUGCGUCGUAAACCCUAAACCCACGCAGAGGUACGUGUGGCUUUAUGAAGUACUAGCAAGUUGGCACG